ACCCCAGGAAACUCAAGGCCUUCAACACUGGCUGAGGCACAAACAGGUCUUUCCAUGCAGACACAUCAGCUCUGUGAUCAGUUGAGGUGUAGGACACGACACUUGCCCUUAGUGAAGCUCAUCGGAAUUGAGAACAACCGCAGCGUGCGCCCCACGAGAGCUACGUGACAAAUCACCAGUACUGAGCGCCCUAAAUCCCGUUUCACAUUACAUCUGCGUGGAAAUUAGCCCUCUGGCAGCGCCGCGGGUGGCCCAGCGGACGGGCAGACAGAGCCCAGCGGAGCGCUCUCGGGGCCCGGGGAAGAGACGUAGCCCUGCUCGGAAACCCACCAUGACGCACCGGCACCAAUUCGCGCACGCCGCCAGGCGCUACA
This is a long non-coding RNA of Phasianus colchicus (ring-necked pheasant), 374 nucleotides long. RefSeq lists it as uncharacterized. Lineage: Eukaryota; Metazoa; Chordata; Aves; Galliformes; Phasianidae. The record is from RefSeq and is a predicted model, not a curated record.